UACUGUUUUCUUAAGUCAAGCCUUAACUUU
RNAcentral lists this non-coding RNA (30 nucleotides) under Rattus norvegicus (Norway rat). The record is from RNAcentral. Lineage: Eukaryota; Metazoa; Chordata; Mammalia; Rodentia; Muridae.